This 70-nucleotide transfer RNA is filed under the name Johnius trewavasae. RNAcentral's name for it is "tRNA-Tyr". It matches the Rfam family "tRNA". From Rfam's summary of the family: Transfer RNA (tRNA) molecules are approximately 80 nucleotides in length. Their secondary structure includes four short double-helical elements and three loops (D, anti-codon, and T loops). Further hydrogen bonds mediate the characteristic L-shaped molecular structure. tRNAs have two regions of fundamental functional importance: the anti-codon, which is responsible for specific mRNA codon recognition, and the 3' end, to which the tRNAs corresponding amino acid is attached (by aminoacyl-tRNA synthetases). tRNAs cope with the degeneracy of the genetic code in two manners: having more than one tRNA (with a specific anti-codon) for a particular amino acid; and 'wobble' base-pairing, i.e. permitting non-standard base-pairing at the 3rd anti-codon position. The record is from RNAcentral. Lineage: Eukaryota; Metazoa; Chordata; Actinopteri; Sciaenidae.
GGUAGUGUGGCUGAGCAUAAAGCGAUGGAUUGUAAACCCACAGACAGAGGUUCAAGCCCUCUCUCUACCA